Paramuricea clavata is the source of this 9201-nucleotide non-coding RNA. NCBI's taxonomy places the organism in Eukaryota, Metazoa, Cnidaria, Anthozoa, Malacalcyonacea, Plexauridae. The record is from the annotation of a GenBank genome assembly.
CGUGAUAUGCAUAACAAGGCGUAGUUUACGCAGUUUGACGCCGGACCUGACUAUGGAAUAUUAAACACAAAGUUUCUUUAUUUUUAACAAGUCUAGUUAGAGCACGGCGAUCAACAUGCAGUCAUGAAACACAUUCCCAUCAAAGAAAAGCGUGUGGCUACUUUGGAAAUCAACAAGUUCUGAUGUAAGUUUGCUUGGCGUCGGUGAUAAUAAAAUAAUGAGCUUGUAGGACCAUUGAUAUGGUCAUAAGUAUAUAAUAUAAUAUAAUUAAUACUGUCAUUGAUCUAAAUUCAGGCUUAUGGAUCGAAAGCUUUGAAAUUAUAAUAACAUAUGGCACACAUGGAAAUCUAAGAUCAGUUGAACGGCUCAACUUCAUUAAUAUAAGUGGUUCAGUUUAUUGGCUGGUAGGAGCAUUAAAGGCAUAUGAGACCAGUCAGUUGGAACUUGGCAGUUGAAAAGAACAGGCAGAAUUUUGAGCAAAAUUUGAGAAUUCACAGGAGUUCGAAGUCGGGAGGAGAAGAGAAAAUCAGCGACAUAAAUUCAACAAUAUUAAUGCUAAAGGUAGGACAUAUGCACGAACUAGAACUUAAUUACUAGAAAGCGUUAAUCGUAGUCUGCAUUGGAGUCAACGCGGAGCCAGGAUUGCGGUAACGGAAUUGCGGAGACGGAAUUGCAGAAGCUGGAUUGCAAAACGGCAUGGAGGAUAAAAAUGCGGCAUUGGAGAUAAAACGCAAAAAGGGGGGUAAAACAUCUGUUUCAGAAUAUGUUGACAAUUGUACUACCGCCUAAAUAGCAGGUACAUAUAUGAGAUACUGAAGCACUGGCUACCAUCCUCCUAUCAAUUGCUUUCGCUUGAAAUGUUCAAACGUUCGGCCCACUCGCUUCCACUAAAUAAGCAGUACGUAUCGCAUAUUUUGAUCUGACAAGUUGAAAACUAUAACACACAAGUUGCUUUGUUUUCAAAUAAGAUUUAUGUUAUGUUGCUUACUAAAACGUCUGGUUUGUAUUAUAUGAAAGAGUAAUCAAGCGGUUACAAAACAAUGCAAAUUCUGCUUGCAACAGUACACCUAAUAAUGCUUCACACCUCGUACUCAUAUUCUUAUUAUCAGCAUGACAAAAUUUCUGCAGUGUGAUUGGCAGAGAGGUGUAAAAUUAUUUUAUUAAUCGAAUGGUUUGUAAAACACAAGUGCGCUUGGGAACACAGUAAUCAUCAGCCCAUUUUGCGCGAAAAAAUACUAAAUUAUUGUGGUAGAAUUGGAUCAGCGUAAAAUUAAUCAAUUAUAACACAUAUUCUUAAUUAAACUAUGGUCAACCAAAAGACUCACCAAGUAUCAUGCUUUCAUCGCGGGGGUAUGUACAAGACUGAAUGCAAAUGAGUAGCGAACCUCUUUAGAUAUUAAUCUGAACCAAGGGGUCUUCUUAAUACUCAUGGACAGUUUCGGACGAUUCAACUUAUUUACAAUAAAUAAUCUUGAGUCUAUGCAUGCACAAAAAUUCCACAUGAUUUCACAUGUGUGAAAUUUCACAUGUGAAUUUGGAACAUGUGAUUUUUCACGUCUGAAAUUUUCCCAUGUGAAAUUAUGUUUCACAUGUUCCAAUUUCACAUGUGAAACAUUUCACAUGUGAAGUUUCACAUGUGAAACACAUAAUUUCACAUGUGUUCACAUGAAUCACAUGUUCCGAAUUCACAUGUUCCAAAUUCACAUGUGAAAUUUCACCUGUGAAACUUCACAUGUGAAACACAUAAUUUCACAUGUGUUCACAUGUGAAAAUUCACAUGUUCCAAAUUCACAUGUUCCAAAUUCACAUGUGAAAUUUCACAUGAGAAACUUUACAUGUGAAACACAUAAUUUCACAUGUGUUGACAUGUGAAACUUCACAUGCGAGAUAUCACAUCUUCCAAAUACACAUGUGAAAUAUCACAUGUUGCAGUUUCACAUGUGAAAUUAUGCAAAUCUUCAAUCAUGCACAUUUAAACCUGUCAAACAGUGAGAUACUGUAAUGGUAUAUAUAGGAAGUUUAAAUAAUUUUUUAACUCUUUAUCGACAAGCGACAGUUUGACGAUUUUACAACUCAAUUGUUUAUAACGUAAAUAUCUCAGCGCGUAUUCACCCCCCUUUAAAACAAAGAAUACCAUUGAAAUCCUAAUAAAACAACCUUUUCAACGGGGGGUUGAAUGCCGUCAAAGCAUUACACAAACCGAAACAAUCAUAUAUUUACUCACCGCUUGGCCAAAGUUUCGGAAUUUCGUUUCCACAAUAGCGUAAAUAACUUGUGAAUUCUUCAGAGUUCGGCUCAAAUCAAUAUGAGUGAAAUAUGUGCUGUAUUCAAGCGCUUUUAUAUCCAGAAUUUCACUUGAAUACAGCCAGUAGAAAUGUUUAUUUUGAGUUUUUAAAAAUAUCGGGUUUUUCUUGGUUUUUCUCGCACGCGCCUGCCACACGUUAAAAUUGGCGAAUAAGAAGUACCCGUAGCCCGAUGCACGUGCAAAUCAUGCUGCAGAUGUAAUUUAACCUUUAAAUCGCAUUUCCGGUCAAAAAAAUCCCGCUGAGUUCGCUAAUAUCGCAACAGAUUGAAAUAUCGAAAUAAAAGACGAAGAACUAAGGCUACAAGCCUCAAAAUAACACUGUAAAUAGUGUUUUUGAUUGUGAAUCGAACAAGACUACAACAAAAAUUACAUGUUUGAAGGGGCCGAAGUUGUGGCUGGCAAAAGGUAUGGCUUUAGUGAUAAAUUGUUUACAUUUUUCGAACAAAUAUGUAAUUUGUUGAAAUAUGAUACGUCUUGACCCUUCAAAGGUCAUAAAUCGCUAUAAUGUUUGUCUUUGACUAAAACUAUCAUUAUGAAUCAGGAAAUAUUAUUUCGCUGAAUUGAAUGGUGGUAUUUUCAUCUACGUAGCAUGUACUGAACCGAAGAUAUGAACCUCCAAAAUACUAUUGCAGUUCUGCAAAAUCGCAUUUCCGGUCAAAAAAUAUCCCGUUGACUUCACUAACAUCGCAACAGAAUGAAAUAUUGAAAUAAAAGACGAAAACCCGAGGCUACAAGCCUCAAAAUAACACUGUAAAUAGUGUUUUUGAUUGUGAAUCAAACAAGACUACAAUGAAAAACACAUGUUCGAAGGGGCCAAAGUUGUGUCCAGCGAAAGGCAUGGUUUUAGUGCUACAUUGUUUACAUUUUUAGAACAAAUAUGUAAUUUGUUGAAAUAUGAUACCUCUCGACCCUUCAAAGGUCAUAAAUCGCUAUAAUAUUUGUGUUUGACUAAAACUAUCACUAGGAAUCAGGAGAUAUUAUUUCGCUGAAUCGAAUGGUGGUAUUUUCAUCUACGUAGCAUGUACUGAACCGAAGAUAUGAACCUCCAAAAUACUAUUGCAGAUCUGCAAUAGUUUUCACAGGGCCGGUCGAAAAGGAGUUUUAAUACAGUUCAUUUCUACAAAUGUUUAGCUACCAUACAAAAUAAUUUAUAAUAAGGAAAAAACUUAGCAGAUCAAAUGUCUUCUGCAAUUUUACUUCUUUUCGUAUCAGCAUUUCUUUUGUGGACCAUGACAGCUUUCACUGAUGGAGCUGUUGCUCCCGCAAAACGUUUAUCACAUGAGCUAUAAGAAAGGAAAUACAAGAAUAUCAUUAGCUGUACAUACUGUAUUUCAUAUACCGGUACUGGAACUCCACAGUCUGUUAACAUUACAGUAUAUAGUACAAGUUCACAGUUCGCAUGCAUCAAUAUGAGCAAUUCCCUCCUGUCCAACCUAUAAACUUUGCAGCACAACCCAACCUUUGGUUGAAGUUCGUUCUAGUAUUAUCAUAAUUGAUAACCAUUGGUUCAUUUGGCUUUUACCCUGACUCAUCCCCAGUAAUGUAUUCUCUGUGUGGGCGAUACAUGGCAAAUUGGAAACUGCUGCAAGGUUAUCUUCUCAACAAGUAAAACUGUAAAAUUUGCUAGCAUUAGACAGAGUAAUAUAAAGUAGAGCAUAUUGCCAGUGAAUGGGUUAAAAAGAGAAAUAUGCGCUAGAUAGGAUUUGUUAACAGCCAUAUAUCUUGCUGUAGAGGAAAAUAUUCAAAUGCGUGAUUCAGUAUUUGUGGAUUGAUUUUAUUCACCAUCAGGAGCUUUAUCAAAUAAAAUUCCAAGACAAAAAUGUGCACGUGGAAACGAAUAGGGUGUGUAAUAAAAGGAAGGUAUGCAGUUCGCUACAACUACAUCUAUACAUGACACAAUUAAAGUAUACCCUACCACCACUGCUUCUUGUCAAAAAGAGUAGUCUGCUACUGACUACAGCUACUGUUUCAAAAUUGUAGCGAAGUAUUCAAUACAUCACUACAAAAAAGUAUAUUGUUAUCCACAUUUGUAUUUUACAUUGAUGUAUAUGUUGUUCCAACUUGUGCUCCGAUUAGCAAGAACGAAAUGAUAAGCAUAAUUAAUAUUAAUUUAAGCAGCUAGAACAGUCUAAACGUAUUACUAAAGCUAAAAGAACAGCGUUAUCUGCUUGUUAGCUUUGCUUAUUGAGUACUUGGGCACAAAUAUGGGCAAAAAGUAUGGCCAGUCAAACAUUUGCGGCAAGUAGACGCGGAGCAAGAUUAAAUAUCUAGAUCUGGAAAGUUCGUCUAUGCAGGCACGAUUAUAUGCGAAUGUUGUCUCCUCGUUCAGCUUUGUGAGUAAACACCAGCACAACCAGACUAGGUAUAGACACUUCACUUCAUUUAACCGAUACAUCCUUCCGGGAUGUACGUCAUUUGGCCAUAGAGCCUCGUUUCCGUUUCGUUUCAUAAUGCGGGAAGAACAAAAAGGUGAGCCACUCGCCUUUGCGGCUCGUGGACACUCUUUUGUUCUUCUCACAUUACAACUUCAUAAUUUUAUCUAUUUGUUAAAUGGCGAAAAGGUGCGAUUAAGAGGCUAGGAUGUAACUAAUCUCACAUACAGGAGAAACGGAAAUUUAUACGGCCGUUCCUGUAGUGAGAUUCAGUGAGAUUUUUUAACUACUUCGCCAAUAGCCAAAUUAUUUGAAAGCCGCUGGUGAGCGUUGGGAUUCAUAUCUUAUCCCAAAUUCCGCGUUUUAUCUCUAUACAGCUUCCACAAUUCCGGAUCCGCAUUUUAUCCCAACAUUUUUAUCAAAAAAUCUAGAAAUAACCGUCCGUGUCCAAGAGAAUUCGGCUUCUGUUAAGACUGAAUAAGUAUAAACAUAAUACAUGACACUGAAAGUUUUACAAAUACAUUUGACAUAUCCGUGAUUGCGUAAUUGGCUUUCAAAAUUAAAACCUUGUUAAUGUUGAAGUGCAUACACAUAUGACAAUCAACAACUUACGCGACUAGCGUCUGUGCUUAACUUCCUGACGUGCGUGAAGUUCCUGAUUGUUACCGAAAGAUUACAUGAAAGCAAAGCGCUAAGUGUACGGUACAAUUCAAUUUUCGCAUUGUUGUAAUAUUUACUAGAAAUACAUUCAUGCAGCAACCCCUCGCCUAUCAUUUUCCAAACAUCGAUUUAACAUGAAGUAAGUGAUCAACACUGGACACAGACUCACGUUUACGUCAGUGUUGCCAUGGCAAGACGAUAAUUUUAUUUUAUAUUAAAUUUAACCCGAAUCGCUUAGUAUUGAUUUCAAAUUAUAAUAAAAUUGUUCGUGUCGUUGGCGUACGGGCGGGAAAAUUAUAGGAGCUGACAAAAGAUGUUGAUCAGAAGUUAAAUUCAAGGAACACAUCUCAAAUACAGACCAGCUAAAAGAAAGUCAAUUUUAAAGGAUAGAUGAAAAUAACUAUUUUGGAGUAUUUCUGGGAUAGUUUUCUCCUCGAUCUACUGUAUGCAAUUUGAGUUUAAAGAAAAAAAAUCACUGUCAUUUAGUGUUUCCGACGGAACAUCUGGCAUCGACAUUAAUAACACAACAAAAUACAUUAUACUGAGAAGAGGAGGCCUAGCAAAUUCCCCGAUUUUUUAAGUUGGAUCGGCCGGACUAAACACUGACUGGGAAAGGGGUGGCCUGAAGCCCUCGAGCCAACAUGAUGUUUCGUGUUGUCAAACGUUUUGAUGAAUCGUUUGAUGAAUACAUUAAUAGAAACCACAUACAUAGUAUUGGAAGAUUUUAAUUUGGCACAUAUUUUCACAGAUCCAGUGAAUAUUGUAAUAUACACUGUUGCAAUUAUAGGUGAUACUUAGGAGUUAUCUUUGCGUAAUAACUGGUGCUUAAUUUAAGCAAAAUGUGGAUAAUCAAACUUCUAACAAUAUAUUAAAGUUUUGUUGUGAACUUGUGUAAUUAUUAUGAUAGUAAUGUGAAAUAUAAAAUUAAUUGAAUAUCAAAACAGACGGUAUUUGACAUAAUUGAUGAAGACUGGCGUGAACAUCAUGAUUAUAUAGAUAUAUAAUUGAACUAUUAGUAUAGGUAAUCAUGGCGAGUACAAUUAGGGAUUAAUAGUACGAGUGAAAUUUUAUUUGAAAACUUCGCAUUGAUGGGAAUGCAACUACGUGAAAAAAUACGAGGGGAACGUCGACGUCUUCAAGUCAAAUACUGACGAAGUAAACUUCGAAGAUGUCCUUGUGUUUUUCAGUUGCAUCCCUGUCAUUUCGACGUUUUCCUAUUCUUUGCAGUACCUACACUAGAUAGACUGGCACAGAUCGUUCGAGAAUAUACAAUUUUACAGUUGAUUUGUAGAAGCACGAAGCAGCUAUACAAGCGGGAUUUAAAAGUAAUAAAAAUAUGACGUGUGGGUCCUUGAAUGAACAAGGCAAGGACAUAUAUAACAGAUCUAGUUUAAAAAAGUACAAAAGCUCAUGCAGUUAUAUCGAUCGUCAGAUCGUGAUCUGUCCACAAAGCAACAAACAUUGCAUGCUAAAGCGUUAGUGAUGUAUUGUCACUUUCACAGUCAUACUAUAUAAAGUUAACGUAUUCGCUUUUCAAAAGAACCAAGAAACAACACAGCACUUUUUUGGGUCCCAAAAUACGUGUGCAAUUUCGAUCCAAUCGAUUAAUACGAUUGUAUAAAUUGAUGUAAUAAAUCUUUACCUCUAGCACUCUGGCUACGAUUUGUAUUUGAACAUGAAUUAAUUAAUUGUUUGUACUUAGCAAAAUCACCACCGAACAGUGUCCUAUAUAGACGCUUGAAUAAGUCAAAAUUGUUGUUGACGCAGUUGUAAUAGACUAGUUAUUCUGACCUUGUUAAAAUUUGUUUGACUAGUGUGGUUUUCAUUCUUAUAGCUCCACGUUCGAGUUUUGCAGUGAUGUUUACAAACCAAACAUAUGAUGAUACAUGGAAUAACAGUGAUUGGAUGAAAUAUGUUGCAUUUCUGAAACAAAUUGAACUAGCACAUAAAAUUAUAUUAAUCUUUAUAGCCAUUCUCACAAUUCUGGGCAAUACUUUGGUCUUGGUAGUGACCUGGAGAGAGAAAAGUCUUCAUCAACCAAACAAAUAUUUUAUUGCUUUCCUGGCAGUUGCUGAUCUUUUGGUUGGUAUCUUUUUAGACCCACUGAAGGCGAACCAACUCUUCGACGACUCUGAAUCGCGAUAUACCGUAUCCAUUCAUCUAUGUCGUUUUACGGUGUGGAUAGAUAACUUCGCGUUAGCAGCAUCGAUUUUGAGUUUAGCGUUCAUUAGUUUUGAUCGUUAUCUCAAAAUCAGCAAACCUCUUCAGUAUAAGUCCAAAAUGACUACUUCUAAAUCAUUGAAAAUCAUUUUUACCAUUUUGUUGGCUUCAAUUGCCUUUGCCACCUACGCCGCCACUCCUUAUUCAGGAAGCUAUGGAAUUCUCCUGAUGGAUAACAAUUUAAAUUAUUGCCAAGCCGCUGAUAAUAAAGAAAAGGAGUUCUACACUAUCUUAUUUGUCGCGUUCUUUGUGGUUACCAUAGUUAUAAUGGUAAUGUACGCUCUCAUCUUCGUUGUUGCUCACAAACGACAAAUGAAGCUGCGAAAUGGCGAACUGGGUCAAACGUUGAAUGAUCGGAACCAACGAAGUGUCUUUCUUCAAGAUCUCAAGGUUAUCCGAAUGUUGUUGGUCAUCGUGGGAGUGUAUAUACUUUGCUGGUUUCCUUUUGUUAUUUAUAAUAUGUUGGCGCUUUACGAUCCGAAAAUUAUUGAUUGGGACAGCACGUCAUUAAAUUAUCAGUAUUCGAUCAACAUAUCAGUAAUGGUAGUUGGCCUGCUGCCGCUGUUUAACAGCCUCUGCAAUCCGAUAAUUUACGCCUGUUUGGACCGGAAAUACAGAGAAGCUUUCAAAAAUCUCUUUCAGCGAAUGAUAUGUCGGUCAAACUCACAAAGUCGACAACCACAAAUCGGAAUAGAGUUACGUCCUCCAAGAACAAGAGAAAGCAACAUCUCAUUAAAUUGCGAAUUGUAGAUUGGCAUAAACUAUAUAUUUACUGAAGAGAUGAAUUUAGACACUAAAACAAUUAAACUUGUUCCAGUUAAACAAAUGUUACCACCGUUUAAUUAAACUAAAAUCAGUUCCAUUCAUUGUAUAUAUAUAUAUAUAUAUAUAUAUAUAUAUAUAUAUAUAUAUAUAUAUAUAUAUAUAUAUAUAUAUAUAUAUAUAUAUAUACGUUUGGUGUAGAACCUUAUCUGGUUGUACUUGAUCAAUUGUAAAAUAUUAGUGUCAAAUCUUAAAUCUGUAAGCUCAUCCCUUAAACUCCAGGUGAACAUGAAAAGACCUGGAAGACAGUCAUUGCAUAUUUGGGACACCUUGUAUAGUUUUUUGCUCCAAUGGAGAAUUGGCUUGGUCAGUGGGUUUAUAAAAAGCUGAAGUCGUGUUUUUAUAUAUUUAACACGAAAAAAACCUGGAUACGUGCUAGACCAGUUGCUAAAUAUCAUCUUUAUGUCAUAGGCAGAAAAAGCUAAUAUAAAUACCAAUACAUGGAAAUAAACAAAACUUCGGGAUGUAAUGUUAUCGUCUUAUUUAAUAUUCAAAUUUUCAAAUUUACGAAAGAAUAAAAGACAAAUAUAUUUUUUUAAACGUAUUCAGCGGGGGAGGGGCGAUAUUACCAGUGCCAAAUUUAAAUGGUAUAACUCUGGAACGUUUUAAUUUAAAUUCGCGAAACUUCACGACUUUUCACUUUUCCUAAAAUGUAUUUGUGAAAACGAUAAUGUAGUGAUUUGGUCGCUUACCUAAGCCAUGUUGCCAUGGUGACCAAAUUUAUGAUGACGUGUCAAGUAUUAUCUCCAUUUUUUCUCCUAAACAACCGUUAUUUUGAUGUUUUAUUAACAUUUUUGGGUUUAAAGCAAAUUUUUGUAAGCU